GUGGGGAAUAUUGGACAAUGGGCGAAAGCCUGAUCCAGCCAUGCCGCGUGUGUGAAGAAGGUCUUCGGAUUGUAAAGCACUUUAAGUUGGGAGGAAGGGCAGUAAGUUAAUACCUUGCUGUUUUGACGUUACCGACAGAAUAAGCACCGGCUAACUUCGUGCCAGCAGCCGCGGUAAUACGAAGGGUGCAAGCGUUAAUCGGAAUUACUGGGCGUAAAGCGCGCGUAGGUGGUUUUGUAAGUUGGAGGUGAAAUCCCCGGGCUCAACCUGGGAUCUGCCUCCAAAACUGCAUGACUAGAGUACGGUAGAGGGUAGUGGAAUUUCCUGUGUAGCGGUGAAAUGCGUAGAUAUAGGAAGGAACACCAGUGGCGAAGGCGACUACCUGGACUGAUACUGACACUGAGGUGCGAAAGCGUGGGGAGCAAACAGGAUUAGAAACCCUAGUAGUCC
This 450-nucleotide ribosomal RNA is filed under the name uncultured bacterium. Its description in RNAcentral is "bacterial SSU rRNA". It matches the Rfam family "Bacterial small subunit ribosomal RNA", at positions 354 to 796 of the family's 1533-position model. The record is from RNAcentral.